Lupinus angustifolius (narrow-leaved blue lupine) is the source of this 119-nucleotide ribosomal RNA. The record is from Rfam. Lineage: Eukaryota; Viridiplantae; Streptophyta; Magnoliopsida; Fabales; Fabaceae.
AGUUGCGAUCAUACCAGCACUAAUGCACCAGAUCCCAUCAGAACUCCGCAGUCAAGCGUGCUUGGGCUAGAGUAGUACGAGGAUGGGCGACAUCUUGGGAAGUCCUCGUGUUGCACCUC